GAUGAACGCUGGCGGCGUGCCUAAUACAUGCAAGUCGAGCGAACGGACGAGAAGCUUGCUUCUCUGAUGUUAGCGGCGGACGGGUGAGUAACACGUGGAUAACCUACCUAUAAGACUGGGAUAACUUCGGGAAACCGGAGCUAAUACCGGAUGAUAUUUUGAACCGCAUGGUUCAAAAGUGAAAGACGGUCUUGCUGUCACUUAUAGAUGGAUCCGCGCUGCAUUGGCUAGUUGGUAAGGUAACGGCUUACCAAGGCAACGAUGCAUAGCCGACCUGAGAGGGGGAUCGGCGACACUGGGACUGAGACACGGUCCAGGCUCCUACGGGAGGCAGCAGUAGGGAAUCUUGCGCGAUGGGCGAAAGCCUGACGGAGCAACGCCGCGUGAGUGAUGAAGGUCUUCGGAUCGUAAAACUCUGUUAGUAGGGAAGAACAUAUGUGUAAGUAGCUGUGCACAUCUUGACGGUACCUAAUCAGAAAGCCACGGCUAACUACGUG
RNAcentral lists this ribosomal RNA (497 nucleotides) under uncultured bacterium. RNAcentral's name for it is "partial 16S ribosomal RNA". It matches the Rfam family "Bacterial small subunit ribosomal RNA", at positions 28 to 507 of the family's 1533-position model. The record is from RNAcentral.